UGAGGAAUAUUGGGCAAUGCCCGCAAGGGUGACCCAGCAACGCCGCGUGAAGGAUGAAGGCCGUAAGGUUGUAAACUUCUGUUAGAGGGGACGGAAGAUUUCGGUAGUACCGGGAUUUGACUGUACCCUCAGAGAAAGCCCCGGCUAACUACGUGCCAGCAGCCGCGGUAAUACGUAGGGGGCAAGCGUUGUCCGGAUUUACUGGGUGUAAAGGGCGCGCAGACGGGUUGACAAGUCAGAGGUGAAAUCCUGCAGCUUAACUGCAGAACUGCCUUUGAAACUGUUAAUCUUGAGUACGGAAGAGAGAGACGGAAUUCCAGGUGUAGUGGUGAAAUACGUAGAUAUCUGGAAGAACACCAGUUGCGAAGGCGGUCUCUUGGUCCGUUACUGACGCUCAGGCGCGAAAGCGUGGGUAGCAAACAG
This 423-nucleotide ribosomal RNA is filed under the name uncultured bacterium. RNAcentral's name for it is "bacterial SSU rRNA". It matches the Rfam family "Bacterial small subunit ribosomal RNA", at positions 355 to 775 of the family's 1533-position model. The record is from RNAcentral.